AAGAGAGGCCUGCCAGCAACGAAGACUGCUAAUCAUCGACCCCUUGGUUGAACUCCAAGGCUCACUUA
RNAcentral lists this transfer RNA (68 nucleotides) under Bovichtus angustifrons. Its description in RNAcentral is "tRNA-Ser". The record is from RNAcentral. Lineage: Eukaryota; Metazoa; Chordata; Actinopteri; Perciformes; Bovichtidae.